CUAAGGAUAUAAACGAACUACAAAUGUUUUAUUAAGUCACAGGAGGUUUGCAAGGCUGAAUCUCAAAAAGUCUGUUUGUGAUUGGAUUGGUUCCCUGACCAGGAACCGAGAGCAAGAUAAUGUUCCGUAACCCUUCCCUUCCUCCACGGUCAGUUAAACAGCUGAUGAGGCCAGGAAAGUGACUGUCCAGCACCCCCAAGGUCCUCUGAAACUCCUGCAUGCUACCACUCAAUCUCUAAACUCACUGCUUUCCCAACCCGUACCCUUUGCUCUCCACUUUAUAAGGAAGAAAUUUGGUGUGGGAGAGAGGCAGACACCCAGGAUAAUUGAAUCUGGCCAGCCAGGGUCACUCUCUGGUGCUGUGUGAGGUCUUGGGACUAAAGCCUAACUCCAACAGCCCUCAGGGGUACCGAGUAUCAACUGCUGUUUGGGAGAAUUUUGGUGCGUGGCACGAGGAAGGCUCAAGGUGACAGAGGGCAUCUGGCUGGGGCAACUCUCUAGGGUUGCCAGCAGACUUUGGCCUGAAACCUGACUCCGACAGCCCCCGGGGCACAGAUAUCAAGGACAUGCUAAACUUCCACUAUGCUUGGACAGCAAAGGGCUUUACAGCAAGCCCUCUGAGGGCAUGAAAAGAGACCUACUUCUUCCCUUACCAACCUUCCCUCCCACACUCAGCCGACUUCACACAUCCAGGAAGAGACCUGGGCUGGGCCAUAGAAGGGUCACACUGUUAUUUAAAGAUCUGUCUUAUGUCUGUUUACUGUUGGUGGUGGUGACUUGGUGGUGACUUACUGGCAACUUAGAACAAAGCAGCCCGCGCCGGAAAAGAACAUCAAUCAGAUGCCGGCGGAAAUACUUGUCAAUCAGCCAGAUCUCCUGACUAACGUCUGUCAAUCAGCAGGACCCCCCUGGCCAAUCCUGGAGUUCAGCCAACUCCCCUGACCAACUCCAAGGGGGCAAGGGACCCUAAGAACACCUUUUCCUGUCCCGAGCCCUUCCCUUCCAGCUGUAAGCCCCAUAAAAGUCCAGUCCGGUCGAGCUUCCACGCGGUUUCUCCUCAGACCCUUCCCCUGUCCCCUCUGUGGGUCUGAUUGAGUUCCGCCCGGGAGUGAGAUCUCAAUAAAGCCUGUUCAGAGGCCCUUUUAAA
Molecule: long non-coding RNA, 1147 nt
Organism: Marmota monax (woodchuck)
Lineage: Eukaryota; Metazoa; Chordata; Mammalia; Rodentia; Sciuridae
Exons: 3
Source: RefSeq, a predicted model, not a curated record